Molecule: small RNA, 28 nt
Filed under: Bombyx mori (domestic silkworm)
Lineage: Eukaryota; Metazoa; Arthropoda; Insecta; Lepidoptera; Bombycidae
Description: ovarian small RNA-12494
Source: RNAcentral
AUCGCCGAGGCACUUUACGCAGCGGGGA